This 481-nucleotide ribosomal RNA is filed under the name uncultured bacterium. Its description in RNAcentral is "partial 16S ribosomal RNA". It matches the Rfam family "Bacterial small subunit ribosomal RNA", at positions 28 to 507 of the family's 1533-position model. The record is from RNAcentral.
GAUGAACGCUGGCGGCGUGCCUAACACAUGCAAGUCGAACGGAGAUUACGGACGGAAGUUUUCGGAUGGAAGACUGUAAUUCUUAGUGGCGGACGGGUGAGUAACGCGUGGGCAACCUGCCCUAUACAGGGGGAUAGCAGCUGGAAACGGCUGGUAAGACCGCAUAAGUCGGCGAGACCGCCUGGUUUUGCCGUGUAAUGAGCCAUCAGGUAUAGGAUGGGCCCGCGUCCGAUUAGCCUGUUGGCAGGGUAAAAGCCUACCAAAGCAACGAUCGGUAGCCGGACUGAGAGGUCGGACGGACACAUUGGGACUGAGACACGGCCCAAACUCCUACGGGAGGCAGCAGUGGGGGAUAUUGCACAAUGGAGGAAAAUCUGAUGCAGCGACGCCGCGUGAGUGAAGAAGUAUUUCGGUAUGUAAAGCUCUAUCAGCAGGGAAGAUGAUGACGGUACCUGACUAAGAAGCCCCGGCUAACUACGUG